RNAcentral lists this ribosomal RNA (239 nucleotides) under uncultured bacterium. RNAcentral describes it as "partial 16S ribosomal RNA". It matches the Rfam family "Bacterial small subunit ribosomal RNA", at positions 524 to 776 of the family's 1533-position model. The record is from RNAcentral.
UACGGAAGGGGCAAGUGUUACUCGUCUUGACUGGGCGUAAAGGGUACGUAGACGGUUUAUUAAGUUCUAAGUUAAAUAAUUAGUCAGCUUUUAAUACUGGUAAACUAGAGUAAAAUAAAAGAUAGUGGAACUUUUAAUGUAGAGAUGAAAUGCGUAAAUAUUAGAGGGAAGAUCAAAGGCGAAGGCAGCUUUCUGGAUUUUACUGACGUUGAGGUACGAAGGCAUAGGUAUCGAACAGG